Molecule: ribosomal RNA, 524 nt
Filed under: Lactobacillus gasseri
Lineage: Bacteria; Bacillati; Bacillota; Bacilli; Lactobacillales; Lactobacillaceae
Description: bacterial SSU rRNA
Rfam family: Bacterial small subunit ribosomal RNA
Source: RNAcentral
UGCUAUACAUGCAGUCGAGCGAGCUUGCCUAGAUGAAUUUGGUGCUUGCACCAAAUGAAACUAGAUACAAGCGAGCGGCGGACGGGUGAGUAACACGUGGGUAACCUGCCCAAGAGACUGGGAUAACACCUGGAAACAGAUGCUAAUACCGGAUAACAACACUAGACGCAUGUCUAGAGUUUAAAAGAUGGUUCUGCUAUCACUCUUGGAUGGACCUGCGGUGCAUUAGCUAGUUGGUAAGGUAACGGCUUACCAAGGCAAUGAUGCAUAGCCGAGUUGAGAGACUGAUCGGCCACAUUGGGACUGAGACACGGCCCAAACUCCUACGGGAGGCAGCAGUAGGGAAUCUUCCACAAUGGACGCAAGUCUGAUGGAGCAACGCCGCGUGAGUGAAGAAGGGUUUCGGCUCGUAAAGCUCUGUUGGUAGUGAAGAAAGAUAGAGGUAGUAACUGGCCUUUAUUUGACGGUAAUUACUUAGAAAGUCACGGCUAACUACGUGCCAGCAGCCGCGGUAAAAGUUUUCG